This is an RNA transcript of Triticum dicoccoides, 635 nucleotides long. RefSeq lists it as uncharacterized. NCBI's taxonomy places the organism in Eukaryota, Viridiplantae, Streptophyta, Magnoliopsida, Poales, Poaceae. The record is from RefSeq and is a predicted model, not a curated record. The transcript has 2 exons.
CACAGCCUGGACCGAAUAGACCAGCCACCACCGCUCACUCCCCACUCUCUCCUCCUACUCGUCGGCGGCAAUGGCCAAGGGCGGCGGUUGCCUUUCCAAGAGCCAGCGCCUCUCACCCCCGCUGGGCCCGCACCGACGCGAAUUUCAUCCCUGCCCCCGCCGCACCGGCGCCGCGCCCGGUCCGCAUCUACGUCGUCUUCUACACCAUGUAGGGCCACGUCGGCGCCUCGCGCGCCGUGCAGUCCGGGAUGGGCUCCAUCCCCGAUGCCCCCAGGAUCGCGUUCCGCGCCGCGGAGACCCGGCCCACCCCGUGCUCGCCCGGAUGGCGCUGACGGACGCCGGUGAGAUGAAUAUGGGGGAACCCCCGCGGUGGACCACGACGGCUUCUUCUUCGCCACCGAGCUCCAGGCCAUCUUCCGCUGCGCCGCUGCCACCCUCGCUGCCGCGGGCCUCGAUACAGGUUCCCUCCCUCCGCGCCCCCAGCCCCUGAUCUCCCCUGAGGGAUUCUGCCGAAUUAUUUCAGCUCAGAGUGGUCAUUUGCUUAGAUUGAUUUACCAGAAGUCUUACAUCUUAACUUUUGGUGCUCAGAACAUUGUACUGAUCCUUGAUGGCAGGUACUCAGCAGUUACCUUUAA